This 497-nucleotide ribosomal RNA is filed under the name uncultured bacterium. RNAcentral's name for it is "partial 16S ribosomal RNA". It matches the Rfam family "Bacterial small subunit ribosomal RNA", at positions 28 to 507 of the family's 1533-position model. The record is from RNAcentral.
GAUGAACGCUGGCGGCGUGCCUAAUACAUGCAAGUCGAGCGAACAGACGAGGAGCUUGCUCCUCUGACGUUAGCGGCGGACGGGUGAGUAACACGUGGAUAACCUACCUAUAAGACUGGGAUAACUUCGGGAAACCGGAGCUAAUACCGGAUAAUAUAUUGCACCGCAUGGUUCAAUAGUGAAAGACGGUUUUGCUGUCACUUAUAGAUGGAUCCGCGCCGCAUUAGCUAGUUGGUAAGGUAACGGCUUACCAAGGCGACGAUGCGUAGCCGACCUGAGAGGGUGAUCGGCCACACUGGAACUGAGACACGGUCCAGACUCCUACGGGAGGCAGCAGUAGGGAAUCUUCCGCAAUGGGCGAAAGCCUGACGGAGCAACGCCGCGUGAGUGAUGAAGGUCUUCGGAUCGUAAAACGCUGUUAUUAGGGAAGAACAAAUGUGUAAGUAACUAUGCACGUCUUGACGGUACCUAAUCAGAAAGCCACGGCUAACUACGUG